Passer domesticus (house sparrow) is the source of this 2735-nucleotide long non-coding RNA. RefSeq lists it as uncharacterized. The record is from RefSeq and is a predicted model, not a curated record. NCBI's taxonomy places the organism in Eukaryota, Metazoa, Chordata, Aves, Passeriformes, Passeridae. The transcript has 2 exons.
UCCCUGCUGCCGGGCUUCGGGGCGCUGACCCCGCGGUUCCCCGUGCAGCGGCACCCGACAGUACUGAACAGCAUCAGCAGCUCAGUGAUACAAUGACUGUGAAGGGAGGAAACCAACAAAUACUGAGAAUCACUUCUACUUAAAAGGCACAUGUGAGAGCAAAAAUAAAAGAAUACACAGAACUACUGAACCUUAGUUCCUUUGAAACUACAAGUCAAGCCUACUUUGAAUAUUACCUGAAAAUACUACAAGCCAUGAAAGAAGGAAAAGCUGUAAAGGGCUGAGAUGGAAUAUCAGACAUAAGGAUAAAGGAGAGAAAAGUUGAGGUGGCAAGAGACUUCUCUGGCUUUCAUGAUAGUGUGGUCACCUCUACUGCACUGUGGCCUUCAGGGUUUCGUCUCAAAGGAUCAAAGGCUGCACUUUCAGGCCAAUCUGCCCAAGCUGGAGCAGGUCCCUUGUGAUGGAAAGACACCUGGGGUGUCAGUGAGCAGAUUCUUCAGGGAGCUACCAAAGCAGCCUCACAGAACAGGGAGAGAGCUCAGAAAGACAGAAGGUGCUGAGGAUCAGCUACUUUCCUCUUGUAAGAGUUUUGUUUGAUUGAAAGGCUGUUAUGGUUCUCAGCUGCAUCUCAUCAGAUGCCCAGAUGUACUAGCAAUUCAGUCCAAAGCAGACUGGGAGAGAGGAUGGCAGCUUCUGGAAAGGACUCUUGGAAGAGAUCAUUCAUUGGAGUGGCAUCUGUAAUCAGCUGGGCCUACCAAGGGUUGAUGUAUAUAUCGAACAGAACUAAGACAGAUAGGAUCUCGUGGACUGUCUUUUAGGGCACUGUUGAGCAAGUUAUGCUGGCUGAUGAUUCUCUUGAUGAUUCUCUUGAUGAUUCCUGGUCAGGAAUAAUGGCUCUGUUGGAUGGCAUUGCACAGACAUCUUUCAGCAGCUGUCUGAAUGGUUUUCUCUACUCCAAGUUAAUUUCCUAGUGAAUAGCCAGAGUAGGAAAUGUGCAGAUGUCAUGAGGUGAUGGAGUCUCACAAAGGUGAGGGGAGUGGUGAAGUCCUGGGUUGAUGUGAGUAGGGCAGGUGACAGCUUGUAAGACAAAGUACUGAAGGCUCCUCAUUGUAUAAAGGCAUUUUGUUCAUUGAUUGUCUCUAGCUGUGAAGGACAAACUAAUCCCACAGAGGCAUUUUCCUGCAGAAACUCUUCAGAUGGGCAAUUUUUCCCAUUAUCUGGACAAAAAUGUUGGCCACCUCCAAAACAGAAGUCUUGCAGCUCUCAGGUUAAGUCUCUCAAUUCAGCCAGCACUGCAAAAGGGCUUGGAAAGUUGCUUGAUUCACCUAGUCCUUGCCAGGGUUAUUAACUGGUACUAGAACAGGCUUCCUCUUCUUGUAAGUUAGCCUCUUCCAGUUUACCUGUGUCCCUUAUCCAGGGUAUGCUUGUGGCUGGGGAAGAAGAAAGAGUCAGGGAGGAGACAUAAAAGCUAGAUGCCAAGAUGCAAAGUUAAAUGGGAUAACUGGUAAUUUUAAUGUUCCUUCUGACAAAGCUUCCUGAGGCAGAAGUGAAGCAGCUGGUGUUUGUCAGAGAUAUACCUCAUACAAUGGAUGUGAAUAUGUCUUGAGCCAGUUGCUGGGAAGCUGAAGCCCAAAUCUGAGCCAAGUUACUCAUGGCUCAGUCUUUUUCCCAAGGCCUGGCAUGCUGAAGAGAAUUAUACAAUAAGGCCUAAACCAGGCUCUCCAUUGUCUUGUUCUGGAACAUAAAUUUAGGGAAGCAUGCAACCAGGACAAUGACAAUGUCUGCCUCAACUUCUUAAACUACUUUUAUUGCAAAUAAAAGAAGCUAGACUGAUAGUUUGAAGACUGACAGCCCAGAAAGCUGAGGUCUUCUUUCCAUUAUACAAACUGAGCUCCGCAGGCAAGGCAUAUCCCUGUCUCCCUCUACCUAGAAUGUUCUUCAGCUUCAGUUUGUACUGGAGAAAAGGUAUUAUUAAAGCCUUCCUCUCUGCUGAGACUGACUGGUGAGUACUUGGAAGAAACAUGCAAGAUGAGUUUUUAUAGGGAUUCAGAGAAAACUUGAGCUGCUAGGCUGUGAAGGAAAUGCUGGAGAGAGACUGGGGCUGUUAGAGGGGUGUAUUUUGGUUGUGUAGAUGUGGCUAUAUCACUGUCUAGUGGCUGUCCCAUGGAACACAAGUCCCCUUGCUGCAGCUAGACUUUGUGGAUACACCACGUGCUCAAAUAAUGAGUUCUAUGUUUUUUAAGCCAAAAAUUUUUCUCCCCCUGCUGAGGAACAUGAAGUUUGUGUAUCUGCAACAUGGAUUCCUUACAGAGGAGGAGAUUUGCUCUUGAAGGGUAGUUUAUAUUGUUUUAGUCAGUGCAGGAAUGAAGAAAGGAAUCAGAUUUUGCUUAUGAAAUGCCUAAGGAUUAGACUAGUAUUGCACUAUCCAAAAUGAAAUCUACUGGUCCAGCUAGGAGUGAAGCAUAAACAAGGCAAAAUCUGAAUUAAAAGCUGCUAGAGAGAGACAGCACCGAGUGUGCAUUGGAUAAAACCAGCAGCCCUGUGGACUGAGAACAAUCCAACAACAACUCUAGCCCAGCUCCACAAAUGUUAUUGAACAAGUCUCAUGAAGGUGUGUCCUAUGUGAAUUAGCCUUAAACAAAGAAGACUAAAAAUCUCGAGCCUGUUCCUUCUUCCUCCCUGCUGUCUUGGUUUAAAAAGUUGAAAAGUCAUGAUUAAAUUGGCUGCACUUGUUA